UGGGGAAUAUUGGACAAUGGGGGCAACCCUGAUCCAGCAAUGCCGCGUGUGUGAAGAAGGUUUUCGGAUUGUAAAGCACUUUCGGCGGGGACGAUGAUGACGGUACCCGCAGAAGAAGCCCCGGCUAACUUCGUGCCAGCAGCCGCGGUAAUACGAAGGGGGCUAGCGUUGCUCGGAAUGACUGGGCGUAAAGGGCGUGUAGGCGGUUUGUACAGUCAGAUGUGAAAUCCCCGGGCUUAACCUGGGAGCUGCAUUUGAUACGUGCAGACUAGAGUGUGAGAGAGGGUUGUGGAAUUCCCAGUGUAGAGGUGAAAUUCGUAGAUAUUGGGAAGAACACCGGUGGCGAAGGCGGCAACCUGGCUCAUGACUGACGCUGAGG
This 379-nucleotide ribosomal RNA is filed under the name uncultured bacterium. Its description in RNAcentral is "partial 16S ribosomal RNA". It matches the Rfam family "Bacterial small subunit ribosomal RNA", at positions 355 to 751 of the family's 1533-position model. The record is from RNAcentral.